This 468-nucleotide ribosomal RNA is filed under the name uncultured bacterium. Its description in RNAcentral is "partial 16S ribosomal RNA". It matches the Rfam family "Bacterial small subunit ribosomal RNA", at positions 28 to 507 of the family's 1533-position model. The record is from RNAcentral.
GACGAACGCUGGCGGCGUGCUUAACACAUGCAAGUCGAACGGAAAGGCCCUGCUUUUGUGGGGUGCUCGAGUGGCGAACGGGUGAGUAACACGCGAGUAACCUGCCCUUGACUUUGGGAUAACUUCAGGAAACUGGGGCUAAUACCGGAUAGGAGCUCCUGCUGCAUGGUGGGGGUUGGAAAGUUUCGGCGGUUGGGGAUGGACUCGCGGCUUAUCAGCUUGUUGGUGGGGUAGUGGCUUACCAAGGCUUUGACGGGUAGCCGGCAUGAGAGGGUGACCGGCCACAUUGGGACUGAGAUACGGCCCAGACUCCUACGGGAGGCAGCAGUGGGGAAUAUUGCACAAUGGGAGGAAGCCGGAUGCAGCAACGCCGCGUGCGGGAUGACGGCCUUCGGGUUGUAAACCGCUUUCGCCUGUGACGAAGCGUGAGUGACGGUAAUGGGUAAAGAAGCACCGGCUAACUACGUG